GGUGUCCAGCUGCACAAGGGACAGGCGGGCAGAUCCGUGGGGCCUGGGCCGUGGCCAUGGGGGCUUGGCCAUUCCUGCUUCCGGUCCUUCCUCCCCACCUUCCUCCCCAGAUGGUGGGGCUGGGACCUGGGCGGAGGCCACCUUGGCUCCUGCUGCUCUGGCCGAGGAGCCGAGAGCAUCUGCGCCGCCCCUUUCCUGGUGGCACUCACGGUGGGCGCUGGGCCUCCCCGGGAGUGUGGGGCAGCUGGUCUCCCUGGUUCUGAGGGCAGCCGGCACAGCCAGGCCAGGGCUGGGGACAGCGGCUAAGUGCAGACGUCUGUUUUCCUGAGCUGAACAAGGAGGACCCGGCCAUGUGGGAGGGCUUCCUCCAGCUGCUUGGGUAGGAAAGCUGAGGCCCAUUAGGUGGCUCCCACGGCCGGGUCCUCGCUGCCCGAAUCAGGGCUUUCCUAGAAAGCAGUGAUUUAACUGGACUAGUAUUUGGGGGGCACCUGGGCCAUCCUUGCCCUUGUGGGAACAGAACAGGCAUAAACCUGGCCUUCCAGAGCCCACAUGGGGAGACGGAUGUCUGCAACUCAGUACUGUGAGCUCCGGUGACAAGUGUGUUCGGGGUCACAGAGCUUCACAACCCAGAGACUUCCACGUGGACAAUGGGGGGAAGGGUGUCCAGAAAGAUCCCUGAAGAAGUAAUGUUUAAGGUGAUAAAGAAGCUAUGUGGGAGGUAGAACUGAAGGGGGGCAGUGGGGUUGGAUGGGAAGCCCAUUCCAGGCAGGGGGAGCAGCAGGUGCAAAGGGCCUGUGGCUGACGGGAAUGCUGGGUGCUUGAGGGGCAGCAGGGUGAUCCUGGUGACUGGAAUGUGAUGAGUGGGGGAAGAAGGUUGGGGAUGGUCAGUGGGAGUCAGUCCCCACAGUGUCCAGCAGCCUGUGAGAGUGUGGUAGACUGUUUUCUGCUGGCAGUGGGGAGCCACAGAUGGUUUAGUAUACGCACAGACAUCCUGGUGGUGUUGAAGGCAAUGAGGAUAGGUGAUCGUGGUAGGAAGCAUUCAGCAGGUGCUCACUGUGUGUCGAGCACCAUUCCAGCCAUUUCACAGGCCAAGGGAAAGGGCUGGGGGGGCAGUGACUUCCAAAGUCCCUGGUGAACAGCCGCGGUGGGGCUCUCGCCCUGCAUGUCCUGCACACAAAGUUGCCCUGGUCUGGCUGUGGAAGCCCCGAGGCACCAGAUGACACCCCCUCCUGCCCCCCGGGGUCCCGCCUCCUCCACACUGUGUCCCAGCCCUGGGUGGGGACUCCAGGUCAGGGGCGGACAGGCCCAGCCGAGGUCCUGGGGAAGCUGGACAGCCAGGCUGCUCCCUGGGCACAGGUCCCGCUGGCUUGCCUGGACGUGAGGAGUGUCCCCGGGGCAGGCAGCACCUGCCCGCUGCCUCCUCCCAUAGUCACAGGUCCAGGGACGGCAGGACUCCCAAGUCACCGGUGGCAUUUGAG
This 1478-nucleotide long non-coding RNA is filed under the name Marmota monax (woodchuck). Lineage: Eukaryota; Metazoa; Chordata; Mammalia; Rodentia; Sciuridae. The record is from RNAcentral.